GAUGAAGAACGUAGCGAAAUGCGAUAAGUAAUGUGAAUUGCAGAAUUCAGUGAAUCAUCGAAUCUUUGAACGCAUCUUGCGCUCCUUGGUAUUCUGAGGAGCAUGCCUGUUUGAGUGUCAUUAAUUUCUCAACUACACUGACUUUGAAUUGGUGUGGCUUGGAUUUGGGGGGAAAAUUGUUGUGGGCUUUUUGUAUAGUCUGCUCCCCUGAAAUUGAUUAGCGGUACCUUUGUGGAACUGUCUACAGGUGUGAUAAUUAUCUACAUCUUAGACAUCUGCUGGAAUGCUGCUUUCUAAACCUUACUUGUAUUGACAAUCUUGACCUCAAAUCAGGUAGGACUACCCGCUGAACUUAAGCAUAUCAAUAAGCGGAGGA
RNAcentral lists this unclassified non-coding RNA (376 nucleotides) under soil metagenome. RNAcentral describes it as "partial contains 5.8S ribosomal RNA, internal transcribed spacer 2, and large subunit ribosomal RNA". The stretch from base 1 to 120 matches the Rfam family "5.8S ribosomal RNA", at positions 35 to 154 of the family's 154-position model. The record is from RNAcentral.